CAGGGCAGGGACUCGCCAUGGAAGGCUCUGGCCUUCCCUGGAGGUCCCGUGCUUGUGAGGUUAAGAGUGAGCCGCGAUGGUCACUGACCUGUGGGCAGAGAAGGACCGUAGGGCUGGAGACCUCCAUGAUAGGCUCUUUCGGUGGGGUAAUGCUCCCUGGCUCCCUGACUAGAUGAUCUCCAGAGGUCUCUUCUGACCUCAGCCGUUGUGUGAUUCUUUGGCACUUCCAUUCCUUGCUUUUUCUUCCUUGCAGCCGCUGAUGCAACUUCUGCUCCGGCAUGGCCAUACUCACCAGCAGAGACGACUGUACUGGAGACAGCCGCACCAGAGAUGACCACAGUGGAGACGACCACAACGGAGAGAAGCACAGCAGCGAUGUCCACAACAGGCAUCCACCUGCGGCUGGCCAACGGCAGGAGCGAGUGCGAAGGCCGCGUGGAGGUGUUCGACGGCAGCGGCUGGGGCA
Long non-coding RNA from Dromaius novaehollandiae (emu), 466 nucleotides. RefSeq lists it as uncharacterized. The record is from RefSeq and is a predicted model, not a curated record. The transcript has 3 exons. Lineage: Eukaryota; Metazoa; Chordata; Aves; Casuariiformes; Dromaiidae.